GUGCCAGCAGCCGCGGUAAGACGUAGGGUCCAAGCGUUGUCCGGAUUUACUGGGCGUAAAGAGCGCGUAGGCGGCUCGUUAAGUGUAGAGUGAAAUCUCUGGGCUCACCCCAGAAACUGCUCUGCAUACUGGCGAGCUAGAGGGUCGAAGAGGUAUGUGGAAUUCCUGGUGUAGCGGUGAAAUGCGUUGAUAUCAGGAGGAACACCCAUGGCGAAGGCAGCAUACUGGUCGGCAUCUGACGCUGAGGCGCGAAAGCGUGGGUAGCAAACAGGAUUAGAUACCCCGGUAGUCC
Molecule: ribosomal RNA, 292 nt
Filed under: uncultured bacterium
Lineage: Bacteria
Description: partial 16S ribosomal RNA
Rfam family: Bacterial small subunit ribosomal RNA
Source: RNAcentral